This 763-nucleotide ribosomal RNA is filed under the name uncultured bacterium. RNAcentral describes it as "bacterial SSU rRNA". It matches the Rfam family "Bacterial small subunit ribosomal RNA", at positions 51 to 820 of the family's 1533-position model. The record is from RNAcentral.
ACACAUUCAAGUCGAACGGAGUAUGUUUGGAAGCUUGCUUUUGGACAUACUUAGUGGCGGACGGGUGAGUAAUGCAUGAGCAACCUGCCUUCAAGAGGGGGAUAACACAUGGAAACGUGUGCUAAUACCGCAUAGACGUACGGACGGCAUCGUAUGUACGGGAAAGGAGCAAUCCGCUUGAAGAUGGGCUCAUGUCCGAUUAGGUUGUUGGUGAGGUAACGGCCCACCAAGCCUGCGAUCGGUAGCCGGACUGAGAGGUUGAACGGCCACAUUGGAACUGAGAUACGGUCCAGACUCCUACGGGAGGCAGCAGUGGGGAAUAUUGGGCAAUGGGCGAAAGCCUGACCCAGCGACGCCGCGUGAGGGAAGAAGGUCUUCGGAUUGUAAACCUUUGUAGACAGGGACGAAGAAAUGACGGUACCUGUAAAGUAAGCCACGGCUAACUACGUGCCAGCAGCCGCGGUAAUACGUAGGUGGCAAGCGUUAUCCGGAUUUAUUGGGUGUAAAGGGUGAGUAGGCGGGCUGACAAGUCAGAUGUGAAAUGUUCAGGCUUAACCUGAGAACUGCAUUUGAAACUGCCAGUCUUGAGUGUCGGAGGGGUAAUCGGAAUUCCCGGUGUAGCGGUGAAAUGCGUAGAGAUCGGGAGGAACACCAGUGGCGAAGGCGGAUUACUGGACGACAACUGACGCUGAUACACGAAAGCGUGGGGAGCAAACAGGAUUAGAUACCCUGGUAGUCCACGCCGUAAACGAUGAGUGCUAGG